UACGUAGGGUGCGAGCGUUGUCCGGAUUUAUUGGGCGUAAAGAGCUUGUAGGCGGCUCGUCACGUCGGGUGUGAAAACUUGCGGCUUAACCGCAAGCCUGCACCCGAUACGGGCGGGCUAGAGGUCGGCAGGGGAGACUGGAAUUCCUGGUGUAGCGGUGGAAUGCGCAGAUAUCAGGAGGAACACCGGUGGCGAAGGCGGGUCUCUGGGCCGAUACUGACGCUGAGAAGCGAAAGCGUGGGGAGCGAACAGG
This 253-nucleotide ribosomal RNA is filed under the name uncultured bacterium. RNAcentral describes it as "partial 16S ribosomal RNA". It matches the Rfam family "Bacterial small subunit ribosomal RNA", at positions 524 to 776 of the family's 1533-position model. The record is from RNAcentral.